RNAcentral lists this ribosomal RNA (484 nucleotides) under uncultured bacterium. RNAcentral's name for it is "partial 16S ribosomal RNA". It matches the Rfam family "Bacterial small subunit ribosomal RNA", at positions 30 to 507 of the family's 1533-position model. The record is from RNAcentral.
AUUGAACGCUGGCGGCAGGCCUAACACAUGCAAGUCGAGCGGAUGAAGGGAGCUUGCUCCUGGAUUCAGCGGCGGACGGGUGAGUAAUGCCUAGGGAUCUGCCUGGUAGUGGGGGAUAACGUCCGGAAACGGGCGCUAAUACCGCAUAUGUCCUGAGGGAGAAAGUGGGGGAUCUUCGGACCUCACGCUAUCAGAUGAGCCUAGGUCGGAUUAGCUAGUUGGUGGGGUAAAGGCCUACCAAGGCGACGAUCCGUAACUGGUCUGAGAGGAUGAUCAGUCACACUGGAACUGAGACACGGUCCAGACUCCUACGGGAGGCAGCAGUGGGGAAUAUUGGACAAUGGGCGAAAGCCUGAUCCAGCCAUGCCGCGUGUGUGAAGAAGGUCUUCGGAUUGUAAAGCACUUUAAGUUGGGAGGAAGGGCAGUAAGUUAAUACCUUGCUGUUUUGACGUUACCAACAGAAUAAGCACCGGCUAACUUCGUG